AACGAACGCUGGCGGCAGGCUUAACACAUGCAAGUCGAGCGAGACCUUCGGGUCUAGCGGCGGACGGGUGCGUAACGCGUGGGAACGUGCCCUUCUCUACGGAAUAGCCCCGGGAAACUGGGAGUAAUACCGUAUACGCCCUUUGGGGGAAAGAUUUAUCGGAGAAGGAUCGGCCCGCGUUGGAUUAGGUAGUUGGUGGGGUAAUGGCCCACCAAGCCGACGAUCCAUAGCUGGUUUGAGAGGAUGAUCAGCCACACUGGGACUGAGACACGGCCCAGACUCCUACGGGAGGCAGCAGUGGGGAAUCUUAGACAAUGGGGGCAACCCUGAUCUAGCCAUGCCGCGUGAGUGAUGAAGGCCUUAGGGUUGUAAAGCUCUUUCAGCUGGGAAGAUAAUGACGGUACCAGCAGAAGAAGCCCCGGCUAACUCCGUG
This 433-nucleotide ribosomal RNA is filed under the name uncultured bacterium. Its description in RNAcentral is "partial 16S ribosomal RNA". It matches the Rfam family "Bacterial small subunit ribosomal RNA", at positions 29 to 507 of the family's 1533-position model. The record is from RNAcentral.